This 72-nucleotide transfer RNA is filed under the name Ovis aries (sheep). It matches the Rfam family "tRNA". Rfam says of the family: Transfer RNA (tRNA) molecules are approximately 80 nucleotides in length. Lineage: Eukaryota; Metazoa; Chordata; Mammalia; Artiodactyla; Bovidae. The record is from Rfam by way of RNAcentral.
UCCCCAGUGGCUCAGAUGGUAAAGCACCUGCCUACAAUGUGGGAGACCCAGGUUCAAUCCCUGGGUCAGGAA